This 483-nucleotide ribosomal RNA is filed under the name uncultured bacterium. RNAcentral describes it as "partial 16S ribosomal RNA". It matches the Rfam family "Bacterial small subunit ribosomal RNA", at positions 29 to 506 of the family's 1533-position model. The record is from RNAcentral.
AUUGAACGCUGGCGGCAUGCUUUACACAUGCAAGUCGAACGGCAGCGCGGGCUUCGGCCUGGCGGCGAGUGGCGAACGGGUGAGUAAUACAUCGGAACGUGCCCAGUAGUGGGGGAUAGCUCGGUGAAAGCCGGAUUAAUACCGCAUACGACCUGAGGGUGAAAGCGGGGGAUCUUCGGACCUCGCGCUAUUGGAGCGGCCGAUGGCAGAUUAGCUAGUUGGUGGGGUAAAGGCCUACCAAGGCGACGAUCUGUAGCUGGUCUGAGAGGACGACCAGCCACACUGGGACUGAGACACGGCCCAGACUCCUACGGGAGGCAGCAGUGGGGAAUUUUGGACAAUGGGCGAAAGCCUGAUCCAGCAAUGCCGCGUGUGUGAUGAAGGCCUUCGGGUUGUAAAGCACUUUUGGCGGGAACGAAAAGGACUGUGCCAAUACCACGGUUCGAUGACGGUACCCGCAGAAUAAGCACCGGCUAACUACGU